This 376-nucleotide ribosomal RNA is filed under the name uncultured bacterium. RNAcentral describes it as "bacterial SSU rRNA". It matches the Rfam family "Bacterial small subunit ribosomal RNA", at positions 524 to 898 of the family's 1533-position model. The record is from RNAcentral.
AACGUAGGAGCCUAGCGUUAUCCGAAUUCACUGGGCGUAAAGCGCGUGCAGGCGGCCCGGUAAGUUGAUUGUGAAAUCUCCUGGCUCAACUGGGAGAGGACGGUCAAUACUGUCGGGCUCGAGGGCGAUAGAGGAAGGUGGAAUUCCCGGUGUAGUGGUGAAAUGCGUAGAUAUCGGGAGGAACACCAGUGGCGAAAGCGGCCUUCUGGAUCGCACCUGACGCUCAGACGCGAAAGCUAGGGGAGCGAACGGGAUUAGAAACCCCGGUAGUCCUAGCUGUAAACGAUGUUGACUUGGUGUCGGUGGGGUAAAAGCUAUCGGUGCCGAAGCAAACGCGAUAAGUCAACCGCCUGGGGACUACGGCCGCAAGGUUAAA